Molecule: non-coding RNA, 735 nt
Organism: Vicugna pacos (alpaca)
Lineage: Eukaryota; Metazoa; Chordata; Mammalia; Artiodactyla; Camelidae
Source: RefSeq, a predicted model, not a curated record
GAGACGUGCCUGCGGGGGCGUGUGCGAGACGGCGGAUGCGGAGUGAGACCGUCCGGUGGGGUGGGGGUGUGCCUGGCAAUCCUUCCCGACCCUCUUCAGCUCCGGGCCACCCCUACCCGCCUUUCUCCCCGCCCCCCUCCAUUUCCCACGAGCCUAGGUGAACUCUGAGCUGCCAGCUGUGGAGGGAGACUGAGGCAGGCGAGGAGGCGAGGGAGCUGGUGAGGUCCGCAGCCCUCCCCGCCCUGUGAACCUCAGGGUGUGGGAGCAAAGUUCUGGUGGCUGGACUUGGAGCUCGCAAAGGGGCAGCCCUCCCUCUGGUGGUCCCUGGCACAAGCUGGGCGUAUUGUGAAUGUAGAAGGAGAGGAUGGGUUGGCCACUAUGGUCCUGGAUAGAGAAGCCAGAAAGGAAAUUUGAUUGCAGGAGCCCACUCCAUCGUAACAGCUGUCACCACCUGCUCCUUGAGAAGAAUGAAAUCCUGGCCAUGGCCCCCUUUAUCAGCUCAGGCCUCCUUGAGGAUUGCCCCCCAUUUUCAUCAAGCAGGUCUCAGCUGGGAAGAGCUAUCCAGACAGUCCUCAUCACCUGUAGGUGGUCCCCCUGGAGGCUAGGGACCUGGAACCCUCUUCUUUGCCUCCGGAAAGUGACAUUUUUUGAAGUAUGGAGUCAUUGGCUUGAUUUUUCUGAGCUUGGGGGCAAGGGAGUGUACUCCCUGGGCCUUACUCUAUCCCCAGAUUUGAA